Molecule: ribosomal RNA, 482 nt
Filed under: uncultured bacterium
Lineage: Bacteria
Description: partial 16S ribosomal RNA
Rfam family: Bacterial small subunit ribosomal RNA
Source: RNAcentral
GACGAACGCUGGCGGCGUGCUUAACACAUGCAAGUCGAACGCUGAAGCUCAGCUUUUGUUGGGUGGAUGAGUGGCGAACGGGUGAGUAACACGUGAGUAACCUGCCUCCUUCUUUGGGAUAACGCCCGGAAACGGGUGCUAAUACUGGAUAUUCACUGGUCUUCGCAUGGGGGUUGGUGGAAAGGGUUUUUCUGGUGGGGGAUGGGCUCGGGGCCUAUCAGCUUGUUGGUGGGGUGAUGGCCUACCAAGGCUUUGACGGGUAGCCGGCCUGAGAGGGGGACCGGUCAGAUUGGGACUGAGAUACGGCCCAGACUCCUACGGGAGGCAGCAGUGGGAAUAUUGCACAAUGGGCGCAAGCCUGAUGCAGCGACGCCGCGUGAGGGAUGGAGGCCUUCGGGUUGUGAACCUCUUUCGCUCAUGGUCAAGCCGCAACAAUGGUUGUGGUGAGGGUAGUGGGUAAAGAAGCGCCGGCUAACUACGUG